GGAACGUUCCCCCCGUGAGAGGAGGAGGAUUUGUACUGGAUCCAUUAGAUCGGUCUGUUCUGCAGUCACAGUCGGUUGCAGAAAGGAGAAAUGCAGGUAAAUCCAAACUGUAGCAGGAAAACCGGCCAAGCUAGGCACAGUCAAUCCUCAACCUUGGCCGAAACUUCUGCCCAUUACAGUAGGACUCAAAUGCAAACCAUCUUUUAUCCGGCCUCUUUAUCAGUUUUCAGCUGACUGAUUGGAUCAAAAGUACAGAAAAUGUCUCAAUUUAUUUCUGAAAAGCCAAAGCACAUACUCUGCUUUUUUAUGAUGGAUGGUGCCGCAGAAGAGGUUCAGCUCCAGGAAGGCACGAGGUGCUGUGAUUAACGAUGCUGCA
Molecule: long non-coding RNA, 376 nt
Organism: Megalobrama amblycephala (Wuchang bream)
Lineage: Eukaryota; Metazoa; Chordata; Actinopteri; Cypriniformes; Xenocyprididae
Exons: 3
Source: RefSeq, a predicted model, not a curated record